This 191-nucleotide small nuclear RNA is filed under the name Mus spicilegus (steppe mouse). RNAcentral's name for it is "U2 spliceosomal RNA (ENSMSIG00000019489.1)". It matches the Rfam family "U2 spliceosomal RNA". From Rfam's summary of the family: U2 is a small nuclear RNA (snRNA) component of the spliceosome (involved in pre-mRNA splicing). Lineage: Eukaryota; Metazoa; Chordata; Mammalia; Rodentia; Muridae. The record is from Rfam by way of RNAcentral.
AUCGCUCCUUGGCCUUUUGGCUAAGAUCAAGUGUAGUAUCUGUUCUUAUCAGUUCAAUAUCUGAUACGCUCUCUAUCCGAGGACAAUAUAUUAAAUGGGUUUUUAGAGUUAGGAGUUGGAAUAGGAGCUUGCUCCGUUCACUCCACGCAUCAACCUGUUAUUACAGUACUUCCAGGAACGGUGCUUCCCCU